GGAGAAGUAAAUAAGAGCGUACGGGGGAUGCCUAGGCUCUCAGAGGCGAAGAAGGACGUGAUAAGCUGCGAUAAGCUGUGGAAAUUGGCACAUACGAGUUAUACCCGCAGAUUUCCGAAUGAGACAACUCAGCUAGUUGAAGACUAGUUAUCCGCAAGGAGGCCAACCCGGGGAACUGAAACAUCUAAGUACCCGGAGGAAAAGAAAAUAAUAAUGAUUCCGCAAGUAGUGGCGAGCGAACGCGGAACAGCCCAAACCAAAGACGUUACGGCGUGUCUGGGGUUGUAGGACUACAAUGUGGACUUAUAAAAUGAACUUGAAUUAACUGGAAAGUUAAGCCAUAGAGAGUGAAAGCCUCGUAAGGGCAAGUUUUAUAUACCUAGUAGUAUCCUGAGUAGGUGGGAGCCGGUGAAACUCCCAUUGAAACUGCCAGCACCAUCUGGUAAGGCUAAAUACU
This 457-nucleotide ribosomal RNA is filed under the name uncultured Flammeovirgaceae bacterium. Its description in RNAcentral is "bacterial LSU rRNA". It matches the Rfam family "Bacterial large subunit ribosomal RNA", at positions 1 to 474 of the family's 2925-position model. Lineage: Bacteria; Pseudomonadati; Bacteroidota; Cytophagia; Cytophagales; Flammeovirgaceae. The record is from RNAcentral.